Molecule: ribosomal RNA, 119 nt
Filed under: Cicer arietinum (chickpea)
Lineage: Eukaryota; Viridiplantae; Streptophyta; Magnoliopsida; Fabales; Fabaceae
Source: RNAcentral
AAGAGUUAUCAUACUAGCACUAAUGCACCGGAUCCCAUCAGAACUCCACAGUUAAGGGUGUUUGGGCCGGAGUAGUACUAGGAUGGGUGACCUACUGGGAAGUCUUUGUGUUGCACCUU